GUCCAGGGAUGGGAAUCGAACCCAUAGUGUUCUGCUUACCGACCAAUGCCAUGUCCACUAGGCUACCCUGGA
Molecule: transfer RNA, 72 nt
Filed under: Cordylochernes scorpioides
Lineage: Eukaryota; Metazoa; Arthropoda; Arachnida; Pseudoscorpiones; Chernetidae
Description: tRNA-Thr
Source: RNAcentral